AUGUUUAUCUUGGGAACACAGGAUAAGAAGGACUUCUUGGGCCACUUGUUGCAGCUGCUUCCAGCUGAGGGAUAUAUCUCUGCCUCGCAAGGAGUGAUUACCCCACUUGGCUCUAACCCAGUCAGCCCAGGUAGCAGCGCAGGACGGCACAGGAUCACUUUUGGCAAAACAGCUGGGGAUUCGACAUUUUUAUCGGAGUUCCUAGCAUUUUUAUCAGAAGAGUGUUCUUGAAGAGAGCUGGUUGGCAGGAUACCGGCAGGCACGGCUGCUUGCCCCGCAGGGCCGCUACUGGCAUUGCUGCCAUCCAUUCCCGCUCUGCCACAGCUCUCCUCGGGCAGCCCAAGUUGGCCUGUGGUUUCAAGUGGGCUCUAUUCUGUGACACCUUUAUUUUGAGGCACGCAGUCUUGAUAUCGUUUGUACUUCUGUCGCUUGUAUUUGAUAGCGUGACUGAGGAGUUUCUGUCAGGAGCAUUCUUAGGAGAGUAUCUAAAGUGAAUUAUGUAUUCAGGAUCAAUUUAUUAUUUUCUGUUGGCGUACCAUAUAAGUGGGUGGAUAAAAAGGAACAUAAUACAUAAAACAUAUGUGUUAUCCUAAUGCUAAACCAGAAUAAAUUGAUAACUUCUGUCUUAAUUUUAAUGUGU
This 640-nucleotide long non-coding RNA is filed under the name Dromaius novaehollandiae (emu). RNAcentral describes it as "lncRNA (ENSDNVG00000008652.1)". Lineage: Eukaryota; Metazoa; Chordata; Aves; Casuariiformes; Dromaiidae. The record is from RNAcentral.